RNAcentral lists this unclassified non-coding RNA (345 nucleotides) under soil metagenome. Its description in RNAcentral is "partial contains 5.8S ribosomal RNA, internal transcribed spacer 2, and large subunit ribosomal RNA". The stretch from base 1 to 120 matches the Rfam family "5.8S ribosomal RNA", at positions 35 to 154 of the family's 154-position model. The record is from RNAcentral.
GAUGAAGAACGUAGUGAAAUGCGAUACGUAAUGUGAAUUGCAGAAUUCAGUGAAUCAUCGAGUCUUUGAACGCACAUUGCGCCCCCUGGUAUUCUGGGGGGCAUGCCUGUCCGAGCGUCAUUGCUGCCCUCAAGCACGGCUUGUGUGUUGGGCCUCCGUCCUCCUCCCGGGGGACGGGCCCGAAAGGCAGCGGCGGCACCGCGUCCGGUCCUCGAGCGUAUGGGGCUUCGUCACCCGCUCUUGUAGGCCCGGCCGGCGCUUGCCGACACAUCAAUCUUUUUUCCAGGUUGACCUCGGAUCAGGUAGGGAUACCCGCUGAACUUAAGCAUAUCAAUAAGCGGAGGA